Molecule: ribosomal RNA, 783 nt
Filed under: uncultured archaeon
Lineage: Archaea
Description: bacterial SSU rRNA
Rfam family: Archaeal small subunit ribosomal RNA
Source: RNAcentral
ACUCUGCGGUUUACCUCAUAAACGUGGUAACUGGGGCUAAUACCAGAUAGGCGUGGAGGCCUGGAAUGGUUCCACACCUAAAUGCGAUACGACCAUGUUCGUAUCGUGCCCGAGGAUGGGGCUGCGGCCGAUCAGGCAGUUGGCGAGGUAACGGCUCACCAAACCAUUGACCGGUACGGGCCAUGAGAGUGGGAGCCCGGAGAUGGGCACUGAGACAGGGGCCCAGGCCCUACGGGGCGCAGCAGGCGCGAAACCUCCACAAUGUACGGAAGUACGAUGGGGUUACCUUGAGUGCAGUCCGAUUAGGGCUGCUUUUCCAUAGAGUAAUAUCCUGUGGGAAUAAGAGGGGGGCAAGACUGGUGUCAGCCGCCGCGGUAACACCAGCCCCUCGAGUGGUGGGGACUUUUAUUUGGCCUAAAGCGUCCGUAGCCGGCUGUGUCCGUUAUCCGUUAAAUCCGGCGUCCUAAGCGUCGGACUGCGGGUGAUACCACACAGCUAGAGGGUGGGAUAGGUAAGCGGUAUUUCUGGGGUAGGGGCGAAAUCCUUUGAUCCCAGGAGGACCACCAGUGGCGAAGGCUGCUUACUAGAACACGCCUGACGGUCAGGGACGAAAGCUGGGGUAGCGAACCGGAUUAGAUACCCGGGUAGUCCCAGCUGUAAACGAUGCGCGCUAGGUGUUGGGUCGGCCACGCGCCGCCCCAGUGCCGCAGGGAAGCCGUUAAGCGCGCCGCCUGGGGAGUACGGCCGCAAGGCUGAAACUUAAAGGAAUUGGCGGGGGAGCAC